RNAcentral lists this ribosomal RNA (208 nucleotides) under uncultured Leptotrichia sp. RNAcentral describes it as "partial 16S ribosomal RNA". It matches the Rfam family "Bacterial small subunit ribosomal RNA", at positions 147 to 354 of the family's 1533-position model. The record is from RNAcentral. Lineage: Bacteria; Fusobacteriati; Fusobacteriota; Fusobacteriia; Fusobacteriales; Leptotrichiaceae.
CAGAGGGAAACUUCUGAUAAUACUGGAUAAGUUAGUAUAUCGCAUGAUAUGCAAAUGAAAGCUACGGCACUAAAGGAGAGCUUUGCGUCCUAUUAGCUAGUUGGUAAGGUAAGAGCUUACCAAGGCGAUGAUAGGUAGCCGGCCUGAGAGGGUGGACGGCCACAAGGGGACUGAGAUACGGCCCUUACUCCUACGGGAGGCAGCAGAG